This 223-nucleotide unclassified non-coding RNA is filed under the name Hevea brasiliensis (rubber tree). The record is from RNAcentral. Lineage: Eukaryota; Viridiplantae; Streptophyta; Magnoliopsida; Malpighiales; Euphorbiaceae.
UUUAUUUUUAUUUUUUAUUUUUAUUUUUCGAUAGAGGAUUAUGUGAGUGGAAACUCAAACCUGACAGUGCAGUAAGUAAUAUGUCUUGAGGCAUUGGACCAAGUCAGGCCAGGUGCCCUAAAUGUUGUCUUAAUUCUAUGGGUUUCUUACUGUUUUCUUCCUUACUAAAUUCAGUUUCAUGGAAUAUUUGGGAAUUGUUUGUUUAAUAGAAGAUGACUUCAAU